This 377-nucleotide ribosomal RNA is filed under the name uncultured cyanobacterium. Its description in RNAcentral is "bacterial SSU rRNA". It matches the Rfam family "Bacterial small subunit ribosomal RNA", at positions 376 to 770 of the family's 1533-position model. The record is from RNAcentral. Lineage: Bacteria; Bacillati; Cyanobacteriota.
CGAAAGCCUGACGGAGCAAGACCGCGUGAGGGAUGACGGCCUAAUGGUUGUAAACCUCUUUUCUCUGGGAAGAUAAUGACGGUACCAGAGGAAUAAGCCUCGGCUAACUCCGUGCCAGCAGCCGCGGUAAUACGGAGGAGGCAAGCGUUAUCCGGAAUUAUUGGGCGUAAAGCGUCCGUAGGUGGUUAAUCAAGUCAGCUGUUAAAGAGCGGAGCUUAACUCCGUUAGAGCGGUUGAAACUGAUUGACUAGAGUUUGGUAGGGGUCGAGGGAAUUCCCAGUGUAGCGGUGAAAUGCGUAGAUAUUGGGAAGAACACCGGUGGCGAAAGCGCUCGACUGGGCCUGAACUGACACUGAGGGACGAAAGCUAGGGGAGCG